Molecule: ribosomal RNA, 465 nt
Filed under: Vreelandella stevensii
Lineage: Bacteria; Pseudomonadati; Pseudomonadota; Gammaproteobacteria; Oceanospirillales; Halomonadaceae
Description: partial 16S ribosomal RNA
Rfam family: Bacterial small subunit ribosomal RNA
Source: RNAcentral
CCUACGGGUGGCUGCAGUGGGGAAUAUUGGACAAUGGGCGAAAGCCUGAUCCAGCCAUGCCGCGUGUGUGAAGAAGGCCUUCGGGUUGUAAAGCACUUUCAGUGGGGAAGAAAGCCUUGGGGCUAAUACCCUCGAGGAAGGACAUCACCCACAGAAGAAGCACCGGCUAACUCCGUGCCAGCAGCCGCGGUAAUACGGAGGGUGCGAGCGUUAAUCGGAAUUACUGGGCGUAAAGCGCGCGUAGGCGGUCUGAUAAGCCGGUUGUGAAAGCCCCGGGCUCAACCUGGGAACGGCAUUCGGAACUGUCAGGCUAGAGUGCAGGAGAGGAAGGUAGAAUUCCCGGUGUAGCAGUGAAAUGCGUAGAGAUCGGGAGGAAUACCAGUGGCGAAGGCGGCCUUCUGGACUGACACUGACGCUGAGGUGCGAAAGCGUGGGUAGCAAACAGGAUUAGAUACCCUGGUAGUC